RNAcentral lists this ribosomal RNA (253 nucleotides) under uncultured bacterium. RNAcentral's name for it is "partial 16S ribosomal RNA". It matches the Rfam family "Bacterial small subunit ribosomal RNA", at positions 524 to 776 of the family's 1533-position model. The record is from RNAcentral.
UACGAAGGGGGCUAGCGUUGCUCGGAAUCACUGGGCGUAAAGGGUGCGUAGGCGGGUCUUUAAGUCAGGGGUGAAAUCCCGGGGCUCAACCUCGGAACUGCCUUUGAUACAGCACGUCUCGAGUCCGGAAGAGGUGGGUGGAAUUCCUAGUGUAGAGGUGAAAUUCGUAGAUAUUAGGAAGAACACCGGUGGCGAAGGCGGCCCACUGGUCCGGUACUGACGCUGAGGUGCGAAAGCGUGGGGAGCAAACAGG